This 165-nucleotide small RNA is filed under the name Carboxydocella thermautotrophica DSM 16521. RNAcentral's name for it is "Carboxydocella sporoproducens DSM 16521 M-box riboswitch aptamer (ykoK leader)". It matches the Rfam family "M-box riboswitch aptamer (ykoK leader)". From Rfam's summary of the family: M-box riboswitch, also know as ykoK leader is described as a metaloregulatory RNA that sense divalent metals and function as a genetic control element of genes related to divalent metal transport in bacteria. It was first reported upstream of the B.subtilis ykoK gene and genes with related functions in other bacteria. Lineage: Bacteria; Bacillati; Bacillota; Clostridia; Eubacteriales; Clostridiales Family XVI. Incertae Sedis. The record is from Rfam by way of RNAcentral.
AUAAUUCCUCGUUAGGUGAGGCUACUGUAUAGACAGAUGCCACUGCCCAGAAAUGUCGAGAGACACCAAUGGGUUAGCAGAUAUGGCCGGCUUAAGGCUUUAUCUAAUGUGGCUGGCGAACAGCCUAGCUAUACAGAGCUAAAACUCAAACGAGUGGGGAGUGAA